UGUAGGAAGGGAGAGGCUGCUGGAUACAGGGAUGCCCAGAGUGAGCGGACUUUGUAUGUUUCCCAGUCAGCUCCUGGUUUCUCAUGUUGCAGCUGUGCUCUUUUUAUAUAACUGGGAAAUUUAUAUGGAGGCCAAUAGCAAUCAUUUUCUCCAGCCAUCCACCUACUGCUUACAACUUCCACCUCUCCCCGUCCCAAGAAAUCCACGACAUGGAAAAAUGAAUCACUUGAGGUGCAAUGUUCAGUGCAACAGAACUAUAUGUGACACAUGCAAUUUUCCUGAAGAAAGGAUCAAAAACAGGCAGGCUAAUAUACACUUGUGUUUGAAUACAAGCUCUAAUGCAAAUGCAGCAAUGGGGUUGCUGCCCAUCCAAAUCCAAGUGGAAGCAAAACAUAUUUUGCCUCAAUGUCAGAAAGCUUGUAAAGUUUGACCUCUGCGGCAAGCUCACAAGCUGUGAAUAUGCCAAUGUCUGGAGAAUUGAUCGGCUCUGUGUACAUUGGGGCCAGAUCUAGAAACGGUCUAAGCAGAAUUAAAGUCUCUUCUGUGGUGGUGUCAAACAGGAUAUUCUCAACCAAGCCAAGUUGUCCAUUAAUCAUCACACAAUUGUCUCCCAUCUUGCAUUUUAUUGCAGCAUUUUGAAAUCUGGCCCUCUUGUACUGUAGUCUUAAAGCAUUGUCUGGCACUGUUGGUCCGCUUGUAUGCUUUCCACCAAGUUUGGGUUUGUCUGUGUGGAAAGUGGAUUUCUUCUGUGUGGACUGUGUGGACUGCCUCUCUACAACAUGUGCAAUUUGCUGAAGAAUAUGUUGAGGCUUUCUGACCUUUCUUUUAAGGUGGCCCAGGAAGUUUUCAAAAGGAAAUGCAGACACACGAUCUAAGGAACCAAACCUCCUCACAUCAUCUGCUAGAUGACACAGAGAGUGCAAAUUGUAGACCAUUUCCUCAAUGCCAUACAAGUUCCCGAACUGUUCAAGGAAGUAUCUGAUUAGGUCAUCUGCAUAAUCGCAGUAAUGGGCACACAGGGUUGGAGAAAGCAUCAGAUAGAUGCUGAUUGACAGUGAAAGAAAGUUAUUGUAGAGUGGAGUUGGGAGAAUGUCUUUUAGUACUACUGGACCAGUGUACAAAAGAAACUGUCUGAAUUCCGUAGCUUUCCAGCGAUCUAAUUCUGAGAGUGACCUUGGCUUUCGUGCAAACUCACAAGGUAUGUACUUUGACAUUC
Molecule: long non-coding RNA, 1216 nt
Organism: Cyprinus carpio (common carp)
Lineage: Eukaryota; Metazoa; Chordata; Actinopteri; Cypriniformes; Cyprinidae
Source: RefSeq, a predicted model, not a curated record